CACUCCUACGGGAGGCAGCAGUGGGGAAUUUUGGACAAUGGGCGAAAGCCUGAUCCAGCAAUGCCGCGUGUGUGAAGAAGGCCUUCGGGUUGUAAAGCACUUUUGUCCGGAAAGAAAUCCUUGGCUCUAAUACAGUCGGGGGAUGACGGUACCGGAAGAAUAAGCACCGGCUAACUACGUGCCAGCAGCCGCGGUAAUACGUAGGGUGCGAGCGUUAAUCGGAAUUACUGGGCGUAAAGCGUGCGCAGGCGGUUUGCUAAGACCGAUGUGAAAUCCCCGGGCUCAACCUGGGAACUGCAUUGGUGACGGGCAGGCUAGAGUAUGGCAGAGGGGGGUAGAAUUCCACGUGUAGCAGUGAAAUGCGUAGAGAUGUGGAGGAAUACCGAUGGCGAAGGCAGCCCCCUGGGCCAAUACUGACGCUCAUGCACGAAAGCGUGGGGAGCAAACAGGAUUAGAUACCCUAGUAGUCCC
RNAcentral lists this ribosomal RNA (471 nucleotides) under uncultured organism. RNAcentral describes it as "partial 16S ribosomal RNA". It matches the Rfam family "Bacterial small subunit ribosomal RNA", at positions 334 to 797 of the family's 1533-position model. The record is from RNAcentral.